This 513-nucleotide ribosomal RNA is filed under the name uncultured bacterium. Its description in RNAcentral is "partial 16S ribosomal RNA". It matches the Rfam family "Bacterial small subunit ribosomal RNA", at positions 28 to 523 of the family's 1533-position model. The record is from RNAcentral.
GAUGAACGCUGGCGGCGUGCCUAAUACAUGCAAGUCGAGCGAACAGAUGAGAAGCUUGCUUCUCUGAUGUUAGCGGCGGACGGGUGAGUAACACGUGGGUAACCUACCUAUAAGACUGGGAUAACUCCGGGAAACCGGGGCUAAUACCGGAUAAUAUAUUGAACCGCAUGGUUCAAUAGUGAAAGACGGUUUCGGCUGUCACUUAUAGAUGACCCGCGCCGUAUUAGCUAGUUGGUAAGGUAACGGCUUACCAAGGCGACGAUACGUAGCCGACCUGAGAGGGUGAUCGGCCACACUGGAACUGAGACACGGUCCAGACUCCUACGGGAGGCAGCAGUAGGGAAUCUUCCGCAAUGGGCGAAAGCCUGACGGAGCAACGCCGCGUGAGUGAUGAAGGUCUUCGGAUCGUAAAACUCUGUUGUUAGGGAAGAACAAAUUUGUUAGUAACUGAACAAGUCUUGACGGUACCUAACCAGAAAGCCACGGCUAACUACGUGCCAGCCGCCGCAGUAA